This is a long non-coding RNA of Mustela lutreola (European mink), 2116 nucleotides long. RefSeq lists it as uncharacterized. The record is from RefSeq and is a predicted model, not a curated record. NCBI's taxonomy places the organism in Eukaryota, Metazoa, Chordata, Mammalia, Carnivora, Mustelidae. The transcript has 4 exons.
AGACAGGCAGUGGCCGACCUCGAGCGCGCUGGACUGAGUGUGAGAAACCAGACGCUGAACGCUAGUGCCGCGUGACGCCGCUCAGAUGAGUUUUAGGAUCACAGCAAAAUUGAGGGGAAUGUUCCAAGAGCUGCCAUACCUCCCACGCCCGCACGUGCGCAGCCUCCCCCGCUCUCAGCACCCCCUCCCCGGAGCCACGCACCUGUUACAGGGCGAGAAGCUGCGCUGACCCGCCUUCGGCACCCAGAGUCCACAGUGGACAGUGGGGUUCACCCCGCGUGGCUCCCUCUGUGGGUCUGGCUUCCACUUUAAAAUAGCAUUUUUGAUGGAAAUCACUUGACUCGAAGAGGAAAGCUGCAAGUGACAGGAAGAGUACAAAGCUACCCACGUAGCUCAGACCCGGGACCACCUGCCGUCAGGCUUGCGCUGUCUGCUUGAGCCCUCGCGCUCCUGCCCUACAUACACACGUACACGUGGACCUGAAUCGCUUGAGAAGAGGGAGCACAAGCAGGACGAGGGGCAGAAGGAGUGGGAGAAGCCGACGCCCUUCUGAGCAGGCGUGACACACUGCAUCCCAGGACUCUGAGACUGUGACCAGAGCCGAAGGCAGACGCUUCACCAGCUGAACCAGCCAGGUGCUCCGGGUGAUUAUUUUUCACAUUUUAACAACAACACAUGGAAAAGCACUUAGCCGUGUGCUUGGCACAAGUAAAGGCUUCGUUAACAUGAGCUCCUAUUAUUACACGCACAGCAGCAGAAAUGUGGGCGCCGGCUUUGUGCCUACGCGCCGCGGAGACCCGGAGGCGCUCCCCCACGCGCCCCUCCCUCGUUCAUUAACAGCGGUGGCAUGGCCGGUGGCCAGGCGAUCUUUCCCUUGGCCGACAGCCGUCGCCUGUGGCUUUUAGCAUCGAGGAGAACAACCUUUGUUCCUCCAGAACUGGCCUAGGUAUGGGUUGAGGGAAGCAGAGUCCGGGACCUGGGAGAGGUCGGUCGGAGGACCUGGGCGGUCUGCAGCAGGCAGUCUCCACGGGGCUCAAGAGACGCGGGGGCCCCCACGGAUGCGUGGUGCUUUGAGUUGAGAAUUUAAGUAUCUAGAGAAGGUACCAAAGUCUGCAGAACGUGGACUUUCCUCCCCAUCUGCACCCCCACCCCUGCCUCUGUGGCUGGACAUCUGAGGUGACCGUGAACUCCAGGCACAUCUUUUACAGGUUGACAUUGUCCUUGGUGACGUCUCUUCUCACCAUCUGUUUCCCGACGUGGCAAGCGCCUCGCGCACGAGCGCGUGGAGAGCAUGACUACUGAGGUUAUUUUUGUCUCCUGAUUCAUUGUUAAACAUCUUUUACCCUCUUAACUGCGCAGACGUAAAAUCCUUUUCCAUAUAAUAAUUGUCUGAGCUCAGAAGAGCCAGGGCUGUUACUCACUGCCACCAAAACCCAGACGGUAUUUUUAUUCUACACUCAAGUUGGCUCCCGCAUUUCUUUCCAGGCCCUGUAUGCGCCUUAAAAUUUCCAUGGAUUGGGUCAAGCUGUUCUUUAAUCAACCAGAAAAAUGCAGGGCACACGUAUGUCUCGCUUCUUGCAAAGCGAGAUGGACACAGAUUUUUUUUUUAAGGAUAAGCAUUUAUAUACAUUUUAAGAAGAGGAAAGACAAGAGUCCUCUCCUCCCACUCUCACCGCGGGUCUGCAGAUGGCCGAGGAGGACGAUGGCCUGUGCUGCCCCUGCUCGGGUCCAGACCAGAGCUGCGUGUCACCCCGCGGUAUCCCCAUCCCGCAGGGGACAGGGCCUUGGGGGUAGCGCUGUGGCUGUGGAACUCCAGGGUUGAAGGGCAUGGUUGCACCCUGCAAGGCCCGUUAGCAAACCUGGAGAGAAAAGUCAUAGGACAUUGGAGAUGGAGAGAACGUGUGUCCUUUCUUUGCCACUUGCUCGUGUUCAGACGGGAGCUGGACGCGGGAGCCCGCCUACCUGGGGCAGCCCGGGGACUCGGCUGUCGGGCCUUUGCCUCCAGGGCUCCCGGCUCCAGGGGUGGGAAGAGAGAGGGCACUGUCCGCCACAGGCGUUCUGGGAAGAGCCCUCUUCUGCCCUGCGGAGGCUGUCUGUGACAGGUAUGAAGCGCAGG